Molecule: ribosomal RNA, 550 nt
Filed under: uncultured bacterium
Lineage: Bacteria
Description: bacterial SSU rRNA
Rfam family: Bacterial small subunit ribosomal RNA
Source: RNAcentral
UAGGGAAUCUUCGGCAAUGGGGGCAACCCUGACCGAGCAACGCCGCGUGAGUGAAGAAGGUUUUCGGAUCGUAAAGCUCUGUUGUAAGUCAAGAACGAGUGUGAGAGUGGAAAGUUCACACUGUGACGGUAGCUUACCAGAAAGGGACGGCUAACUACGUGCCAGCAGCCGCGGUAAUACGUAGGUCCCGAGCGUUGUCCGGAUUUAUUGGGCGUAAAGCGAGCGCAGGCGGUUAGAUAAGUCUGAAGUUAAAGGCUGUGGCUUAACCAUAGUACGCUUUGGAAACUGUUUAACUUGAGUGCAGAAGGGGAGAGUGGAAUUCCAUGUGUAGCGGUGAAAUGCGUAGAUAUAUGGAGGAACACCGGUGGCGAAAGCGGCUCUCUGGUCUGUAACUGACGCUGAGGCUCGAAAGCGUGGGGAGCAAACAGGAUUAGAUACCCUGGUAGUCCACGCCGUAAACGAUGAGUGCUAGGUGUUGGGUCCUUUCCGGGACUCAGUGCCGCAGCUAACGCAUUAAGCACUCCGCCUGGGGAGUACGACCGCAAGGNUG